UCCAGACUCCUACGGGAGGCAGCAGUGGGGAAUAUUGCACAAUGGGGGAAACCCUGAUGCAGCAACGCCGCGUGAGUGAAGAAGUAUUUCGGUAUGUAAAGCUCUAUCAGCAGGGAAGAAGAAAGACGGUACCUGACUAAGAAGCCCCGGCUAACUACGUGCCAGCAGCCGCGGUAAUACGUAGGGGGCAAGCGUUAUCCGGAUUUACUGGGUGUAAAGGGAGCGUAGACGGCCUGCCAAGUCUGAUGUGAAAUACCGGGGCUCAACCCCGGGGCUGCAUUGGAAACUGGCAGGCUGGAGUGUCGGAGAGGCAGGCGGAAUUCCUAGUGUAGCGGUGAAAUGCGUAGAUAUUAGGAGGAACACCAGUGGCGAAGGCGGCUUACUGGACCGAAACUGACGUUGAGGCUCGAAAGCGUGGGGAGCAAACAGGAUUAGAUACCCCGGUAC
This 447-nucleotide ribosomal RNA is filed under the name uncultured bacterium. Its description in RNAcentral is "partial 16S ribosomal RNA". It matches the Rfam family "Bacterial small subunit ribosomal RNA", at positions 330 to 793 of the family's 1533-position model. The record is from RNAcentral.